This is a long non-coding RNA of Haliotis rubra (blacklip abalone), 909 nucleotides long. RefSeq lists it as uncharacterized. Lineage: Eukaryota; Metazoa; Mollusca; Gastropoda; Lepetellida; Haliotidae. The record is from RefSeq and is a predicted model, not a curated record. The transcript is spliced from 2 exons.
AAUCUGAGGACAUCGUAGGUCACAUCAGAAUGACCUUUGGUCCUCCCCGCCAUUACACAGAUACCUGAGGACAUCGUAGGUCUCAUUAGAAUGACCUUUUGUCCUCCCUACCAUUACACAGAUACCUGAGGACAUCGUAGGUCGCAUCAGAAUGACCUUUUGUCCUCCCUACCAUUACACAGAUACCUGAGAACAUCGUAGGUCUCAUUAGAAUGACCUUUGGUCCUCCCCGCCAUUACACAGAAAUCUGAGGACAUCGUAGGUCACAUCAGAAUGACCUUUGGUCCUCCUCGCCAUUACACAGAAACCUGAGGACAUCGUAGGUCUCAUUAGAAUGACCUUUUGUCCUCCCUACCAUUACACAGAUACCUGAGGACAUCGUAGGUCUCAUUAGAAUGACCUUUCAUGAAAUUAGCUGAACUAAUGAAGAACUAGCAAAACCCUGAAAGCAGCCUAUAAUAACGAGAUUUCUCAGGCUCCACGGCACAAGUAUCAGACCAAUUGCAUGAACAUCUCCUUGCAGCUGAGUGCAUUGACGAGGUGUGUAUCACAGUAUACCAUGAAUACAGACAUUGUAAAAUAUUUAGUGUUUGACUAACUUAUUUCUGUUUUAGAAUAUGUUGUAAUGUUAUAAAUUAUAUUAAUAUGAGAUUACAGUUUUAUGAUCUGCCUGUUGAGAAAGAAUUAUUUUUGAUAGUUUGAUAAAUCAUGAAAUAUUUACAGCUGUAUUGUUGGUGAACCUUUGUUGAUUGGUUCUGGAUAGUUAGCUAGAAUGUUUGCUGUGUCUCAGUUUCCAUGAAAACACUGCUGACAUUUGUUUUCCACUGUUUCUGUCUUGUUCUGUCGUGUUGUUCAUCAUGUGGGUUGUACUGAAAUUAUUGUAUCUUGGAAUAAAUUAUGGUUAGAAGA